RNAcentral lists this ribosomal RNA (213 nucleotides) under Verrucariales sp. Its description in RNAcentral is "partial large subunit ribosomal RNA". The record is from RNAcentral. Lineage: Eukaryota; Fungi; Ascomycota; Eurotiomycetes; Verrucariales.
AAGCGCUUGCAACCAGACUUGUGUGUGGCGGUUCCCCCGGUCGUCUGACCGGGUUAUUCUGUCACAACCAGGCCAGCAUCGAUUUAGGUGGCCAGUUAAAGGCUCUGGGAAGGUAUCUACCUUCGGGUCGACUUACAGCCCAGGGUGUAAUGUGGCCUACUUGGAUCGAGGAACGCGCUUUUGCCCGGAUGUUGGCGUAAUGGUUGCAAGCGG